CGGACGGGUGAGUAAUGUCUGGGAAACUGCCCGAUGGAGGGGGAUAACUACUGGAAACGGUAGCUAAUACCGCAUAACGUCGCAAGACCAAAGAGGGGGACCUUCGGGCCUCUUGCCAUCGGAUGUGCCCAGAUGGGACUAGCUAGUAGGUGGGGUAACGGCUCACCUAGGCGACGAUCCCUAGCUGGUCUGAGAGGAUGACCAGCCACACUGGAACUGAGACACGGUCCAG
RNAcentral lists this ribosomal RNA (232 nucleotides) under uncultured bacterium. Its description in RNAcentral is "partial 16S ribosomal RNA". It matches the Rfam family "Bacterial small subunit ribosomal RNA", at positions 99 to 334 of the family's 1533-position model. The record is from RNAcentral.